AUUGAACGCUGGCGGCAGGCCUAACACAUGCAAGUCGAGCGAGCGGCGGACGGGUGAGUAAUGUCUGGGAAACUGCCUGAUGGAGGGGGAUAUCUACUGUAAACGGUAGCUAAUACCGCAUCCCAUCAGAUGUUUCCAGAUGGGAUUAGCGAGUAGGUGGGGUAACGGCUCACCUAGGCGACUAUCCCUAGCUGGACUGAAAGGAUGACCAGCAAUACUGGAACUAAGACACGGUCCAGACUCCUACGGGAGGCAGCAGUGGGGAAUAGUACACAAUGGGCGCAAGCCUGAUGCAGCCAUGCCGCGUGUGUGAAGAAGGCCGUCGGGUUGUAAAGUACUUUCAGCGGGGAGGCGUUACCCGCAGAAGAAGCACCGGCUAACUCCGUGCCAGCAGCCGCGGUAAUAC
This 406-nucleotide ribosomal RNA is filed under the name uncultured bacterium. Its description in RNAcentral is "partial 16S ribosomal RNA". It matches the Rfam family "Bacterial small subunit ribosomal RNA", at positions 30 to 526 of the family's 1533-position model. The record is from RNAcentral.